Molecule: ribosomal RNA, 253 nt
Filed under: uncultured bacterium
Lineage: Bacteria
Description: partial 16S ribosomal RNA
Rfam family: Bacterial small subunit ribosomal RNA
Source: RNAcentral
UACGGAGGGUGCAAGCGUUAAUCGGAAUUACUGGGCGUAAAGCGCACGUAGGUGGUUUGCUAAGCCAGCUGUGAAAUCCCCGGGCUCAACCUGGGCACUGCAGUUGGAACUGGCAAGCUAGAGUAGGGUAGAGGGGUGUGGAAUUCCAGGUGUAGCGGUGAAAUGCGUAGAUAUCUGGAGGAACAUCAGUGGCGAAGGCGACGCCCUGGACUCAUACUGACACUGAGGUGCGAAAGCGUGGGGAGCAAACAGG